CACAAGCAGCGGAGCGUGUGGUUAAUUCGAUGUUACACGAAGAACCUUACCAAGGCUUGACAUGUUGGUUGUAGGGAUCCGAAAGGUGACCGACCCUUCGGGGAGCCAUCACAGGUGCUGCAUGGCUGUCGUCAGCUCGUGUUGUGAGAUGUUCGGUUAAGUCCGCUAACGAGCGCAACCCUCGUCGUAUGUUAUAUGUGUCAUACGAGACUGCCGGUAAAAAGCCGGAGGAAGGUGAGGAUGAUGUCAAGUCAGCAUGACCUUUAUAUCCAGGGCUACACACACGCUACAAUGGUCUGUACAAUGGGUAGCCAAGCCGCGAGGCGGAGCCAAUCCUGAAAGCAGGCCUCAGUUCAGAUUGCAGUCUGCAACUCGACUGCAUGAAGCCGGAGUUGCUAGUAACCGCAGGUCAGCAAUACUGCGGUGAAUACGUUCCCGGGUCUU
RNAcentral lists this ribosomal RNA (444 nucleotides) under uncultured Anaerolineaceae bacterium. RNAcentral describes it as "bacterial SSU rRNA". It matches the Rfam family "Bacterial small subunit ribosomal RNA", at positions 924 to 1382 of the family's 1533-position model. The record is from RNAcentral. Lineage: Bacteria; Bacillati; Chloroflexota; Anaerolineae; Anaerolineales; Anaerolineaceae.